Apis mellifera (honey bee) is the source of this 2470-nucleotide RNA transcript. It is a transcript of the gene named probable C-mannosyltransferase DPY19L1, with no coding region annotated. The record is from RefSeq and is a predicted model, not a curated record. Lineage: Eukaryota; Metazoa; Arthropoda; Insecta; Hymenoptera; Apidae. The transcript is spliced from 9 exons.
ACGUAAAAUUUCAUGUUCUCAUAUGUAACCUUUUCCACGAGAAAAAUCAAUCAAAUUCAAAUAGAUUUUUCGAUUGAUCGAAAAGUAAAGUUUCAAAUCGCACGAAUGAUGGCGCGCGAAUAGCUGCGGUCACGUGACACUGGUUCAUUUGGCUUCCAAAGAUGGCGGCGGAAAGUGACAAGAGGCAUAAGAGUGUCGAAAAAUUGUGCCGUAAACGAGUGACUUUCUACGAAUUAGCUGUGGAUCUCAUAGGUUUGGCAUUUGGCUUGUUUCAUCAUUGGCAUGUGUCUACGCUAUUCGAAAAUGACCGGCAUUUCUCGCAUCUGUCCGAAAUCGAGAGAGAAAUGUCUUUUCGCACGGAAAUGGGGAUGUAUUACUCUUAUUACAAGACGAUCGCGGAAUCGAAAACAUUUAUGGACGGGCUGAGAAAAAUUAGCCACGAUAAUAUUUCGGAAUAUGGGAACGUUAUCAACGCGGCUAGAAAAUAUAGCUUGCUACCAGAGUUAGUUGCUGGAUAUCUUUAUCAUUGUGCCAAGAAUUUGGGGCUUAUAUCUAUAGAGCAGUGUUGGCAAAUAGAAAGAGGAGAAGGUUUGUCACCGGUAACCAGUUGCGAGGGUCUAGGCGUCCCAGUUUAUUUCUAUUUGGAAAUUGUUUGGACUUCCACAAUACUUACAGUAGCUAUACUAUUCUAUUAUGCCACUUUCCUUGGCAACAGCCUGUACAGUGGAUUCAUAGCAGUGCUUCUCUUCUUUUAUAACCAUAAUGAAUGUACUCGUGUACAGUGGUCUCCACCAUUGAGAGAAAGUUUCGCGUACCCUGUUUUACUAUGUCAAAUGUAUACGUUGACUCUGAUCCUUAGAGAGGGUACUCAACAGAGCACGCAGAAAAUACCAAAAGACUUACUUCAGAAAAUGGGCAUGGCGACGAUAAUUAGUUUAUGUUGUUGGCAAUUUUCUCAUUUCGUAUUCAUCACGCAAAUCGUCGCCCUCUUGAUAUUAAAAUGGAUGAAAAUAAUCUCGAACGAUCUUUACAGAUCUAUUUCCAAAGUUCACGGUUGGUCCAUCGUGAUAGCAAUGGGUAUCACCGACAGUUUCCCCUUGCUUUUCUCUAUGUACUUGUGUCUCUUGUUCGUUAGCAACGCUUUAAACGUAACGGAGAAAUUGACCAAAUUUAUCGGCACGAAACUGCAAACGUUCCUCGAAAUAGUUUUCACGAUCUUGUGCACAGCGUACUUAAAAUCGAUCUACGCCUUGUUAUACGAAGACACGGCGCACGUGUUCAAUUUACUUAAAACGAAACUGAUCGGUUACAAAGAUUUUCACACGAUGCUGUACACGUGCUCCCCAGAAUUCGAUUUCCUUCAGUACAGAAGCUACGAGGCGAUCAUAAAAACCUUACUUCUGCCGUCUGCCAUUCUCGCCGGAAUGCUGGUCAUCUAUUUUUGGUACAGAAAUUACAAAAUCAAAGGGUAUCCUAAAUGCAUAGAAGCGGAUCUGGCGUACAACGGGUUGCAGACCGGAGCCUUCAUUAUCAUGGCGGUUUUUAUCAUGAGAUUGAAACUGUUUAUGAAUCCUCAUCUGUGUAUAAUAGCCGGCACGAUAUGCGCCAACAGAUAUCUGGAGAAACUCGGUAUAAAGAGAAAGAUAACCAAGACCGCCAUUAUAGUUCUAUUGAUGUCCGCGAUAUCUUACCACGGAUUAGAAAUACUGCAGGAAGAGCGAAGCGUUAUGGGUAACUAUAUUAUGGCGAGUACAGCGACAUCGAGCAAGAGGAACUAUUCGAAUGGAUCAAGAAGAAUACACCCGAACACGCUGUGUUUGCCGGGAAGAUGUCUUUGAUGGCGAAUUUGAUGCUCUCCACGGGAAGGCCGAUCGUCAAUAAUCCUUACUACGAGAGCAAAGAGAUGAGAGAUCGGACUAUGAAAGUUUACGAGGUGUUCAGCAGAAAAGACGUCACAUCCGUAUACGUCACGCUUAGGAACUUGCAGGUCGGAUACGUGAUUCUAGAGGCAUCGAUGUGCUUCGGCUACGCAAAUUUGCCAUCGCAGUGCCAAAUGAUCGACUUGUGGGAUCUGGUGGACAACGGAGUGGCGAAGGCUGCUGGAAAGCAACCCGUGUGCCCGAUGCUGUUUCGAGGGAACGCUUACCCUUUCAAACGAUCGUUCGUGAAUAAUCGUUACGUUGUUCUGCAACUCGAUUAUUCCUACUGCGUGGAAUUGAAACCGAACAAUUCCCUUAAUUACCAGUCUUGAACUGGUAAUUGUGAUCUAAUAUGACAAAUACCUCGCCGAUACUGCAGAGAAUAUUUUUUUCCCAAAAGAGAGGCAAUUAUGUAUGAUACUUAUAUAUAUAUAUAUAUAUAUUUUUUUUUUAAGAACAAUGACUCGUUGAGAUGAGCCAAAGUAAUUUUGUUAAAAAAAAGUUAGAACUGCGAAUAAAAAAAAAUGUUAACUACGUUCCUGUAAAGUCCA